This 450-nucleotide ribosomal RNA is filed under the name uncultured bacterium. Its description in RNAcentral is "partial 16S ribosomal RNA". It matches the Rfam family "Bacterial small subunit ribosomal RNA", at positions 354 to 796 of the family's 1533-position model. The record is from RNAcentral.
GUGGGGAAUCUUCCGCAAUGGACGAAAGUCUGACGGAGCAACGCCGCGUGAGUGAUGACGGCCUUCGGGUUGUAAAGCUCUGUGAUCGGGGACGAAUGGCUGGUAUGCUAAUACCAUAUCAGAGUGACGGUACCCGAAUAGCAAGCCACGGCUAACUACGUGCCAGCAGCCGCGGUAAUACGUAGGUGGCAAGCGUUGUCCGGAACUAUUGGGCGUAAAGCGCGCGCAGGCGGCUUCUUAAGUCCAUCUUAAAAGUGCGGGGCUUAACCCCGUGAUGGGAUGGAAACUGGGAGGCUGGAGUAUCGGAGAGGAAAGUGGAAUUCCUAGUGUAGCGGUGAAAUGCGUAGAGAUUAGGAAGAACACCGGUGGCGAAGGCGACUUUCUGGACGAAAACUGACGCUGAGGCGCGAAAGCCAGGGGAGCGAACGGGAUUAGAUACCCCUGUAGUCC